This 4682-nucleotide long non-coding RNA is filed under the name Eucalyptus grandis. RNAcentral describes it as "long non-coding RNA (EGRA_LNC005536)". The record is from RNAcentral. Lineage: Eukaryota; Viridiplantae; Streptophyta; Magnoliopsida; Myrtales; Myrtaceae.
CCCCCGCUCCUCCAUGGAAACCCCUCCUUCCGCCGAGGCGCGUCGUCGUCUGCGGCGGCGGCGUCAUCGGCGUCUGCACCGCCUACUUCCUCUCCAAGUCCGCCGGCGCCGGCGCCUCCGUCUCCAUCGUCGAGCAGUCCUCCGUCGCCUGCGCCGCCUCCGGGAAGGCCGGCGGCUUCCUCGCCCUCGACUGGUGCGACGGCGGGCCCCUCGGCCCCCUCGCCCGCGCCAGCUUCGACCUCCACCGCGCCCUCGCCGCGGAGCUUGACGGGCCCCGGGCCUACGGCUACCGCGCCCUCACCACCCUCAGCCUCACCGUGAAGGAAUCGGAGUCGGGCUCCGGGUCGGGCCAGCGGCCCAAGCGUGGGGCCCCGCACGACGCCGUCCUGCCCGACUGGGUCGACGGGCCGGGCCGGGCCGCUAGGGCGAUCGGGUCGACGGACACCACGGCCCAGGUCCAUCCCCAGCUCUUCACUUGGGCCCUGCUGGACAAGGCCGUGAGGGAUUACGGGCUCGAGGUGGUGAUCGGGAAGGUGGUCUGGGGGUGGCGGCGGCGGCGGGAGGGUGUCGGCGGUGGUGCUGGAGGGAGGGAGGGUCAUGGAGGCGGACGCGGUGGUGCUGGCGCUCGGGCCGUGGUCCGGCAAGUUCGGGCUCCUGUUAACGCUGUUCAGGGUGUAUGGGCUCAAGGCCCACAGCAUCGUCUUGGAGCCGAGAGAGCCCGGUGCAAUAGGCCCGGAAGCUCUGUUCCUGAGCUUCCUGCCCGCCACCGGCGGCCCGGCCAUGGACCUGGAAGUCUACCCUCGCCCUACUGGUAUGUAACCAUGUUUGUAAUCUUUUUUGUUUUUUUUUCCCUUUUAAUUAUUGUAUGUAUGUAUUAUUAUUUAAUUAAUUGUUAAUUAUGAUCAUUAAAACAUUGGUUUUUAGGAUGAAUUAUUUGAAUGGCUGUCAUAUGUACUGUCACAUGUCUAGGAAGCAAUUAUUAGUUUUUGCUAGCUUUGGCUUGCCUACCUGCCUACUGUCUAGCAAUAGAAGAUGGGGCUAUUUCUUUUGUAGUUUCCAUCCAAUGAAGUUUCUAAAUUUAGCAAUGCCUAGUUCUAUUCAAUUACAUGUUUAGCUGAAUUAUAAUGUGGCCAAAGUACAAGCAUUGAUUCACUGAAAUGGAAGGUCUCUCUCUCUUUCUGUGUAGCUUGAAAUUGAGCUACCAAAGUAGCCUUCAUCUUCCAAUUGAUGUAUCGAUUGUGGGGUUGGUUGAUUUUCUUUUAUUCCCUGGAAAAAAUAUCGGGUCAAGUCGACCUGCUCCAUGUGCAUUUGAGAUUUUUUUUUUUUUUUGAAUGAUUUUGGUUAUGAUUGAACAUAUUUAGGGGAAGUCUAUUUGUGUGGGAUGUCGUCCCGGGAGGAGGUGCCAGAUGACCCUGAAGAGGUCGUGCCCAACCCGGAAUCCAUAAAGGUGCUCAAGCGGGUGGCUCGGGCCGUCUCGAGUCACCUAGCGGAGGGCAAGGCGGGCGUGAAGGCCGAGCAAGCCUGCUUCUUGCCAUGCACCGAGGAUGAGGUCCCUGUGAUCGGGGAGCUACCGGGCUUGGAAGGUUGCUAUGUGGCGACAGGCCACAGUUGCUGGGGCAUCCUCAACGGGCCCGCUACUGGGGCUGCGGUGGCGGAGCUUGUGCUCGAAGGGCGGGCUCAGACCGUGGACCUGACUCGGUUCAGCCCUGCACGAUUUGUACUCUCUAGGAAGAGAUGAAAUGUGGCAUUCAGAAAUAUAAAUUGUGUUUGUUUUCUAUCAAGUCGAGGAUUUUCUCCUUUUUUUUUAACGUGAUUUUCUAAAUGAAGGUUUUAAUACAAGCAUGUGGUCACGUGUCUGUGGUUGUGGCAAUGCCCUUUUACUCGCAGGUCAGUUACGGAGGUGGAGGUGAUUUUAAGAUGAUGCAUGCUGUACUGAUAAUGAAGGGUUGUAGUUUUUGGGACCUAUAACAUGCCUCUCUACUUAAAUCAAUUUCCACACCACAGGUUUUAGUCAAUACCCACUUCUUGUUAGGAGUAAGUGUUGAAGAUCUAUUUUUUGGCUACUCAGGAGCUUUUGAAGUUUAGAGAGAGGGAGAGAGAGAGAGACUAUGCUUUUCUAUGCAAGUUCAAGAUUUUAGGUAUGUUGUUGGCACUUUUACGUGAUCUAGUUGCGAUAGCUUAGGGCUUUAGAGCUUCAACUACUACCACCAUAGCCUGCGCUUUCUUGAAGUAUUUCUAGCUACAAAUGUGUUUUUUUGGGGGGCUAACUUCACAAGUGAGUGCGAGACUGCUAACUGGUACUUUUGAAUGAGAGGUUGCUGAUUAGCUUUCCCUUGGUCUUUGUUGUCUGGUAUUGUCCUACAAGCGGCUGUGGUCAAAUGUUGUUUAAACUUUGGUAGAGAACAUCUCUUGGCUAUUGACUUUUGCAAGUAUAAUUCAAUUUUCCAUUACAGAAAAGUAAUCAGGUUGUCUAGUUUUACCCUAAUAUGCUGCAAUCUCUGCCUUCCAGUAAAGCUGCCCGAGUUGCUGGCUCGUGUGAACAUUGAAGAGGACACCUUGACGCGGUUGCAGCAGAAACUGCUCGACUUUCUCAAGUACUGAUUCAUACCUGUCUUUUCAACGGUGAUCUCCACAUCUUUUUGAAUGCUUCAUCAAUUUGAUAUUUACUCAAGAUCCAUUAUUUUAACUCAGCUAUUCUACUUGCAACUUGUAAGGAUGUACCUCUAAGAUCAGCUUCUGUAUCAUGCUUCAAAAUGCAGAUUCCUCCAGAAGAACCAAAGUACCUUCUUCCUUUCUGCAUAUGAAGCGUCCAAAGCUUCGGAAGGAAAAGGGAAGAGGGAAGAUGAGGGAGCCUAGCCUAGCCGGAGCGUCCACUGCUCCGUUUCCGGCAAUUUCCAAUUCAUUAGGGGACGCUGUCGGCUAACGAUUCUGAUGUCGUGGAAUUCUCUGCCCAUUAAAAGCCGGAAGAAUUCCUUUUGCUGUGUUGUUGUAACAUUAGCAUUGACUAGUUCAUUCUUUCUUUAUGAUCCGUUUCCCCUCGUAGUGAAGGGGGUGAUAGUUGGUAAAUUACCUUUAUACGGUUCGAUUCGGCGCGGUUCUUACGCUGACGAUUGUUUCUCAGACAAGACCAACUGUCGGGUAUUUCGAUUCAUCCAGACUCACUAUUGUACUCGACAAGAACCUCAAGACCUAGAGGGUCGAUAGCAAACACAUUUUAUCUCAAUAAGUCCUACUUUCUGAACGAUCUUUCUUGUGUAUUACUUUGUUCCCUCGACCCUUAUUUCGCUUCGCAUCAUUUUACAUCUUCAAAUUGGUGUACAUGAGUAUACUACAAGCUGCCGGUAAAUUCAUAUUCAAUACAUCGGUGAAUGCACUUAUUUUGUGCAACAAUUGUAAAAAGAAUUAGGGGUUAACAUGAUUAAAGGCAUGCAAAACAGAUCGCCGGAAUCAAAAACCAUCGAGAUUAGUCUAGUUUCUGGAUUGUUAGUCCAAUUCCUGGUUCUAAAGGGAACUGGUUUGGACCAACUGAACAUACUUUUUGUUUUAUUAUUUCUGUAAAAGAUUUAGUAAAAUGUAAACUAAAUAUUAUCUCGGUUUGAUUCCAAGUAGUGAGGAAAAGAAGUAAUGGGAAAAAAAUAGUUAGAAAUAAUAAGCGACUAUUUCAUUGGACCAAACCAAAAUCAAACUAGAUUAAUCGGUUCAAUCCCAAUUCUCAAUUUUGGAAACUGGAACAAAAACACAUCACUCCUAAAUAUGACAAAUAAUGUUUAACUAAUAUAUUUGUGACAAAUUUACUCUCAUGAAAAAUUUUAAAUUAAUAUACAUGUGAUAAAUUUAUCAUAUGUUAAUUUUCGUUAAAUUUUACCAUUAAAUUAUGACACCCUUCUUUAAGGUUUACCCUCAAUUUAAUUUGUGAUAUUUUAUAAUAUUAAUCUAAUUUAAUAAAAACUAAUGAAAGUAAAUUUAUCAUGAAUCUAUCAAUUUUGGAUUUUUUAUGCUAUUAACAAAAAAAAAAACAAAGAAAAAUGGGUUACGGCACUCUCAAACUCUCCUCAAUCAAAACAAUAAAAAAAGAAAAAAAAUCCCAAAUGGGCCUAACAAAAAAAAAGGCCCUAACGACACGUGUCAUCUUCCAAGCACACAACGCCCCCCAAGACAAUUUAGAUUAGCAUCGAUUCCCCAAUAAUGUCGACGACCGCCUCCUCGCCGUCGUCCCCCGCACUCGCGCUCCUCCGCCCAAGCCCAAGCCCAAGAGCUUCCUUCCCCGCCCGAUCUCCAUCCUCCGUCGCUGUCGCCGUCGCCCCCCGCUCCUCCAUGGAAACCCCUCCUCCCCCUCCCCGGCGGGAUCCGCCGAGGCGCGUUGUCGUCUGCGGCGGCGGCGUCAUCGGCGUCUGCACCGCCUACUUCCUCUCCAAGUCCGCCGGCGCCGCCGCCUCCGUCGCCCUCGUCGAGCAGUCCUCCGUCGCCUGCGCCGCCUCCGGGAAGGCCGGCGGCUUCCUCGCCCUCGACUGGUGCGACGGCGGGCCCCUCGGCCCCCUCGCCCGCGCCAGCUUUGACCUCCACCGCGCGCUCGCCGCGGAGCUCGACGGGCCCCGGGCCUACGGCUACCGCGCCCUCACCACCCUCAGCCUCACCGUGAAGGAAUCGGAGUCGGGCUCCGGGUCGGGCCAGCAGCCGAAGCG